Amphimedon queenslandica is the source of this 262-nucleotide long non-coding RNA. RefSeq lists it as uncharacterized. The record is from RefSeq and is a predicted model, not a curated record. The transcript is spliced from 3 exons. NCBI's taxonomy places the organism in Eukaryota, Metazoa, Porifera, Demospongiae, Haplosclerida, Niphatidae.
GAGUGGUUGUUUAACGUUCCUUAAAUUUAGUAGGGGAUUUGACUGAAGGGAACGGCCCCAGAGGUAGUGAUUUAAUUAAUUAAUUAAUUUGAAACCCCAACUAUGCCCCAUUAUGACCUGUACUGGGAUAGUGGAGCUUGAUAUUGAUAAGCAUUUUAUACCUUGCCAGCGAAUUGGAUCACAAGAGGUUGCUCAUGAGUUUUUGCUUACAUGUGUAGUAGGAGACUAGGAGCUCAAAAUGUCACGAAAAGCUAUCAGUAUU